AGUGAACGCUGGCGGUAGGCCUAACACAUGCAAGUCGAACGGCAGCACAGUAAGAGCUUGCUCUUACGGGUGGCGAGUGGCGGACGGGUGAGGAAUACAUCGGAAUCUACUUUUUCGUGGGGGAUAACGUAGGGAAACUUACGCUAAUACCGCAUACGACCUACGGGUGAAAGCAGGGGAUCUUCUGACCUUGCGCGAUUGAAUGAGCCGAUGUCGGAUUAGCUAGUUGGCGGGGGAAAGGCCCACCAAGGCGACGAUCCGUAGCUGGUCUGAGAGGAUGAUCAGCCACACUGGAACUGAGACACGGUCCAGACUCCUACGGGAGGCAGCAGUGGGGAAUAUUGGACAAUGGGCGCAAGCCUGAUCCAGCCAUACCGCGUGGGUGAAGAAGGCCUUGGGGUUGUAAAGCCCUUUUGUUGGGAAAGAAAAGCAGCAGGUUAAUACCCCGCUGUUCUGACGGUACCCAAAGAAUAAGCACCGGCUAACUUCGUG
This 492-nucleotide ribosomal RNA is filed under the name uncultured bacterium. RNAcentral describes it as "partial 16S ribosomal RNA". It matches the Rfam family "Bacterial small subunit ribosomal RNA", at positions 29 to 507 of the family's 1533-position model. The record is from RNAcentral.